CUAUAAUACUCUGUAACUCUUUUCUUUUUAACUUUUUACUCUUGCUUUUCUUUUCCUUAAUCUCUCAACAUCGUGUUUUUCUUCGAAUUUAUUUUCAUUCACUGAUGCCGGCGGUGCUCCGACGAAGAUCAAGUAUUAUCAACUGAAUUUUUUUGAGAUGACUCUCUAAAUUCAAAUUAUUCUGCACUGUCAUCGUCGGUUGGCCGUUGUCGCUGUGGUGCUAAUUGCAGUUGUUCUUGCAGUUGAAACUCACCGGCAACGAAGUGUUAACUAAGAUCGAAAUCUUUUAUUCCGUUACAAAAGAGACCUGGAGGACGGCCAUUAAGUCCGCCGCCUCUUAAACUUGUUGAUCGUGAGAAGAAAGAGAAAGCAAUGAAAAAUGAGCAUUGUGGAAUUUUCUUUGGGCACAGGCUAAAUUCAAUGUUAAAGGAAGAAGAUUCUGCUAGUCAAUUUGGAGGUCAGUUAUUCCUACUGACUUGAUGACAAAGUAUUUGCAGAUGGAACAAGAAAAUUAAGCUAAACUUGUAAAGUUAGCUUUGAGGUAAAUUUUUCAAACUGACUUUUUUGUCCUUUAUAAAAUACUUGCUGGAGUUGGAAAUGUGUAUGUUUUUGGCUCUGUUUCAGGGGCUUCAACAGUUCGAAAUCUUCCUAUGGAAUGGUUUUAUUUCGGGGAAGGCAUCAGAAGGAGGCUUUGGAAAUGAGAUGUAUAAGAGAUCUUUUUUUUUUGAGAGAUCUUGAAUGAUGCUUUUAGCAUAUUGUUGAACUGGUCCCUGAUCAUUGGGUAGACGAAACAUAUUGAUUCUUUCUCAAGUCAAACAUUUGUGGAGAAAGAAUGAACGUCUAAAGAAAUAUGGAAGGCUUUUGGCUAUAAGGAUUGAUGAUUUUGAUACAUGCCCAACAAUUUAUUCUUUUCUAAUACUAUAUCCUCAAAGAUGUAGUUUUUAACUGAAAAAUAUAUUUGUAACUACUUUGCAAACCUAUUCCUAGAAUGGAUCAGUUUUUUUUUUUU
This is a long non-coding RNA of Mercurialis annua (annual mercury), 1009 nucleotides long. RefSeq lists it as uncharacterized. The record is from RefSeq and is a predicted model, not a curated record. The transcript is spliced from 2 exons. NCBI's taxonomy places the organism in Eukaryota, Viridiplantae, Streptophyta, Magnoliopsida, Malpighiales, Euphorbiaceae.